This 650-nucleotide ribosomal RNA is filed under the name Sarcocystis sp. Its description in RNAcentral is "SSU rRNA". It matches the Rfam family "Eukaryotic small subunit ribosomal RNA", at positions 455 to 1077 of the family's 1831-position model. The record is from RNAcentral. Lineage: Eukaryota; Apicomplexa; Conoidasida; Eucoccidiorida; Sarcocystidae.
CUCAGGGAGGUAGUGACAAGAAAUAACAACACUGGAAAUUUUAUUUCUAGUGAUUGGAAUGAUGGGAAUAUAAACCCCUUUCAGAGUAACAAUUGGAGGGCAAGUCCGGUGCCAGCAGCCGCGGUAAUUCCAGCUCCAAUAGCGUAUAUUAAAGUUGUUGCAGUUAAAAAGCUCGUAGUUGGAUGUCUGCUGGAAGCAAUCAGCCCGCCCUAUUUGUAGGGUGUGCACUUGAUGAAUUCUGGCAUCUAUGUCCCGAUAAAGAAACGGGCGUUUAGCUGUUGGGCGAAAGCUCGAGAGCUCGCGUCCGUUUAUUGGGAUAAUACUGUUACUUUGAGAAAAUUAAAGUGUUUGAAGCAGGCUAAUUGCCUUGAAUACUGCAGCAUGGAAUAACAAUAUAGGAUUUCGGUUCUAUUUUGUUGGUUUCUAGGACUGAAAUAAUGAUUAAUAGGGACAGUUGGGGGCAUUCGUAUUUAACUGUCAGAGGUGAAAUUCUUAGAUCUGUUAAAGACGAACUACUGCGAAAGCAUUUGCCAAAGAUGUUUUCAUUAAUCAAGAACGAAAGUUAGGGGCUCGAGGACGAUCAGAUACCGUCGUAGUCUUAACCAUAAACUACGCCGACUAGAGAUAGGAAAAUGUCAUUUUGCUGACUU